AUGGGGAUGCGUUCCAUUAGGUUGUUGGCGGGGUAACGGCCCACCAAGCCUUCGAUGGAUAGGGGUUCUGAGAGGAAGGUCCCCCACAUUGGAACUGAGACACGGUCCAAACUCCUACGGGAGGCAGCAUG
Molecule: ribosomal RNA, 131 nt
Filed under: uncultured bacterium
Lineage: Bacteria
Description: partial 16S ribosomal RNA
Rfam family: Bacterial small subunit ribosomal RNA
Source: RNAcentral